Molecule: ribosomal RNA, 728 nt
Filed under: uncultured endophytic bacterium
Lineage: Bacteria
Description: bacterial SSU rRNA
Rfam family: Bacterial small subunit ribosomal RNA
Source: RNAcentral
AACCGGAUUAGAUACCCUGGUAGUCCACGCCCUAAACGAUGUCUACUAGUUGUCGGGUCUUAAUUGACUUGGUAACGCAGCUAACGCGUGAAGUAGACCGCCUGGGGAGUACGGUCGCAAGAUUAAAACUCAAAGGAAUUGACGGGGACCCGCACAAGCGGUGGAUGAUGUGGAUUAAUUCGAUGCAACGCGAAAAACCUUACCUACCCUUGACAUGUACAGAAUCCCGAAGAGAUUUGGGAGUGUUCGAAAGAAAACUGUAACACAGGUGCUGCAUGGCUGUCGUCAGCUCGUGUCGUGAGAUGUUGGGUUAAGUCCCGCAACGAGCGCAACCCUUGUCAUUAGUUGCUACGAAAGGGCACUCUAAUGAGACUGCCGGUGACAAACCGGAGGAAGGUGGGGAUGACGUCAAGUCCUCAUGGCCCUUAUGGGUAGGGCUUCACACGUCAUACAAUGGUACAUACAGAGGGCCGCCAACCCGCGAGGGGGAGCUAAUCCCAGAAAGUGUAUCGUAGUCCGGAUUGUAGUCUGCAACUCGACUACAUGAAGUUGGAAUCGCUAGUAAUCGCGGAUCAGCAUGUCGCGGUGAAUACGUUCCCGGGUCUUGUACACACCGCCCGUCACACCAUGGGAGCGGGUUUUACCAGAAGUAGGUAGCCUAACCGUAAGGAGGGCGCUUACCACGGUAGGAUUCGUGACUGGGGUGAAGUCGUAACAAGGUAACCGUA